AGGUGGGCACUCCUGAGACUGCAGAGCAGAAGAGACCAGCAACACUGCCCACCCCUGCCCACAUCCCUGGCCCAAGAGGAAACUGAAUACGGCCUCUGGGUUCCUUAGAUAAGGGCACAGGAGCAGCAGUUCCCCUGCGUCUGAGACAUGCCAGAAACUGAAGGGACCAACCAGAUAAACAGUUCUCUGCACCUAAAUCCCAUGGGAGGGAGAGCUAAACAUUCAGAGAGGCAGACACCCCUGGGAAACCAGAAGAGACUACACUCUAUCCACAUCUCUGACGCCAGAGGAAAACACCAAACGCCAUCUGGGACUCUGGUGCAUGGGGGCUCCCGGAAACAGCAGCACAGGUCCUCCUGCUUGCUGCCCCCAUGGAGAGCUCAUAAGCAACACCCCAAGAGAAAACAUGAGCCUCGGACAACAGGUAAGACCAACUUUUCUGCUCCAGGCAACCUGCCUGGUGAACUCAGGACACAGGCCCCCAGGAACAGCUGAAGACCUGUAGAGAGGAAAAACUACACGCCCAAAAGCAGAACACACUGUUCCCAUAACUGGCUGAAAGAAAACAGGAAAA
RNAcentral lists this long non-coding RNA (574 nucleotides) under Rattus norvegicus (Norway rat). Its description in RNAcentral is "long non-coding RNA NONRATT015933". Lineage: Eukaryota; Metazoa; Chordata; Mammalia; Rodentia; Muridae. The record is from RNAcentral.